UAGAACUUUUCAGCAUUUAUUUUGAAAAGUGUUGCUAUUCGAAUCUGUUAUUUUUGGUACAGAAAAGUAGGCUAUUUCGUCGUUCAAGAAUGACAGGAAAAGUAAGUUGUUUCACGACGGAAACGCAAAAAAUAAUUUUUCGCCAUUUCAAAUAAAUAUUUGAGAUUAUAAAACAAAAUUCAAACACAUGUACUCACGUCCGGUUCCUUCCGUCCGCGGAAGAACAAACUCAUGUGCUCCCAGUCGCCAAUGUGGCUGCCAAACUCCUUCUUGGUCCCGAGGCACAUCCCGAAGAUGAGCGGAAUCGGCCACGGUCCGAGCGGCCCCAGAUUGACCGUGCAGAUAACCUUACCCUGGAACGAGAAACGAAACCAACCGAGUAAGUCACGUGAAAGUGCGGGUACUCGUUCGAAUCGUCACCCUUCUGGAUGAUGAUGUCGUCCCGCCGCUCGGUGAUGGUCUCCCAGUCGUCGGAAUCGUUGUCGAUUCCGCUGGUGUUUUCGUCCUCGUCCUCGUCG
This is a long non-coding RNA of Culex pipiens pallens (northern house mosquito), 518 nucleotides long. RefSeq lists it as uncharacterized. Lineage: Eukaryota; Metazoa; Arthropoda; Insecta; Diptera; Culicidae. The transcript has 3 exons. The record is from RefSeq and is a predicted model, not a curated record.